CAGCAGCCGCGGUAAAACAGAGGGUGCGAGCGUUAAUCGGAUUUACUGGGCGUAAAGCGUGCGUAGGCGGCUUUUUAAGUCGGAUGUGAAAUCCCUGAGCUUAACUUAGGAAUUGCAUUCGAUACUGGGAAGCUAGAGUAUGGGAGAGGAUGGUAGAAUUCCAGGUGUAGCGGUGAAAUGCGUAGAGAUCUGGAGGAAUACCGAUGGCGAAGGCAGCCAUCUGGCCUAAUACUGACGCUGAGGUACGAAAGCAUGGUGAGCAAACAGGAUUAGAUACCCCUGUAGUCCCUGUCUCUUAUAC
RNAcentral lists this ribosomal RNA (301 nucleotides) under uncultured bacterium. RNAcentral's name for it is "partial 16S ribosomal RNA". It matches the Rfam family "Bacterial small subunit ribosomal RNA", at positions 509 to 807 of the family's 1533-position model. The record is from RNAcentral.